CCCUGUGUCCAUGUAGGCAUACCUUGGAGGUAUUAUGGGUUUGUUUCCAGACCGCCAAAAUAAAGUGAGUCACACUAAUUUUUGGUUUCCCAGUGCAUAUAAAGGUUAUGUUUACAUUGUACUGUGUCUA
Sapajus apella (tufted capuchin) is the source of this 130-nucleotide long non-coding RNA. RefSeq lists it as uncharacterized. The transcript is spliced from 3 exons. Lineage: Eukaryota; Metazoa; Chordata; Mammalia; Primates; Cebidae. The record is from RefSeq and is a predicted model, not a curated record.